RNAcentral lists this ribosomal RNA (253 nucleotides) under uncultured bacterium. RNAcentral describes it as "partial 16S ribosomal RNA". It matches the Rfam family "Bacterial small subunit ribosomal RNA", at positions 524 to 776 of the family's 1533-position model. The record is from RNAcentral.
UACGUAGGGGGCUAGCGUUGUCCGGAAUCAUUGGGCGUAAAGCGCGCGUAGGCGGCCAGAUAAGUCCGGUGUGAAAGCCACAGGCUCAACCUGUGAAUGCCGCUGGAAACUGUCUGGCUAGAGUCCGGGAGGGGCGAGUGGAAUUCCUGGUGUAGCGGUGAAAUGCGCAGAUAUCGGGAAGAACACCCGUGGCGAAGGCGGUUCUCUGGGACGGUACUGACGCUGAGACGCGAAAGCGUGGGGAGCAAACAGG